This 87-nucleotide transfer RNA is filed under the name Minisyncoccota bacterium. Its description in RNAcentral is "tRNA-Ser". It matches the Rfam family "tRNA". Rfam says of the family: Transfer RNA (tRNA) molecules are approximately 80 nucleotides in length. The record is from RNAcentral. Lineage: Bacteria; Bacillati; Minisyncoccota.
GGAAGUGUGGCUGAGUGGUUGAAGGCACCGCUCUCGAAAAGCGGCAUAUGGGAAACUGUAUCGAGGGUUCAAAUCCCUCCGCUUCCG